UACGGGGGGGGCAAGCGUUGUUCGGAAUUACUGGGCGUAAAGGGCUCGUAGGCGGCCAACUAAGUCGGACGUGAAAUCCCUCAGCUUAACUGGGGAACUGCGUCCGAUACUGGAUGGCUUGGAUUCGGGAGAGGGAUGCGGAAUUCCAGGUGUAGCGGUGAAAUGCGUAGAUAUCUGGAGGAACACCGGUGGCGAAGGCGGCAUCCUGGACCGACACUGACGCUGAGGAGCGAAAGCCAGGGGAGCAAACGGG
This 253-nucleotide ribosomal RNA is filed under the name uncultured bacterium. RNAcentral's name for it is "partial 16S ribosomal RNA". It matches the Rfam family "Bacterial small subunit ribosomal RNA", at positions 524 to 776 of the family's 1533-position model. The record is from RNAcentral.